Long non-coding RNA from Pyrus x bretschneideri (Chinese white pear), 2654 nucleotides. RefSeq lists it as uncharacterized. The transcript has 2 exons. NCBI's taxonomy places the organism in Eukaryota, Viridiplantae, Streptophyta, Magnoliopsida, Rosales, Rosaceae. The record is from RefSeq and is a predicted model, not a curated record.
AUUAAUACUUGGAAUGUGGUUGAUCAUAUUGCCAUCUGUUUUGCAGUUGGAUGUAUUAAUACUUGGAAUGUGUGUGAUCAUAUUGCCAGUGUUUGCUUAUUUUUUUACAGCACUUGCACUGUGAAGUCAAUGAAAUCGGGUUCCUUUUGUCCAGUUUAUAAAAUUUCAUAUCAGUGCAGAAGUAUGAAUCAUGAUAAUUUUAUGUUUGUGUUGAACUGUUAGAGGCUACAAUUGUUUUAUGUGAAAUCAUUUACUUUCAUCAUAAUGAGUUUACUUCUAGGACAGUGCAACCUUUAAAGGGAAAGGAUACAUUCAGGCCAAAAAAAAAAAGGGGAAGGGAUACAUCCAUUCUUUUGUUUAAGAUCAAAACUAUUUAUGAGUCAUAUUUAUAAGCAAGUGUUUAUAUUAGGAGGUGGUAUGUUGACUAAGCUUUUCAGUUAAAAGGUGGAGGUGUCUUUGAGGUUUAAUACAAUACAUAGGUGGAUUCUGUAAUAUUAGAUUAGAUUUUCAAAAUUUUUAGUACGUUAGGUCCAGUUUUGGGGGAUUCAUCUCUCUCUUUAUUCCCUUAUUUGUUUCAUUUUCUCUUAUUUUGGGGAUUCGCUCUCUGUUCUGUCUAUUUGUUCUUUGUUUUAAGGUCAGUUGCUUUUUUUUUUUUUGGGUUUUUAGUUCAUUACUUUGUUUAGUUGUUGUUAAUUUUACAGUUUAAUUGUUUCCCCUAAUCUGGAUUGUUAAGUUUUGGACCUUUUUUUUUCCCAAAAUCCACAUGAACUGAGCUUUAGUGCUUAAAAGAGACCUGAGUUUUAUUUUGUGCUGGAGUUUAUAAUGUAUUUAGAUUGGGAACACAAUCUUUGUUGAAUUCUAAGUUUUUAUCCACUUUUGCAUUUUUCCCCUUCAAUGGUUUCAAUUAAUUGUUGUUUUAGUAUAACUAUUGCUCUUUAAGCUGCGAAAUUAGGUGUAAGAAAAUCUUUUGUGUACUUAUGUGGAAUUGUUGAUUUCCAUGGAAGCUAAGGAUGUGUGUAAUUGUAUUGUGGGCUUUUGGAUCUGUUGGCUUUUCUGUUUUGAUCAAAAUUGUUGAUUUCUUUUGUGGAAUUGAGUUUUAGACUAGAAUCGGAGACGUGGGUGCUUGAGAACGUUUAAUUUUUACAUGCAUUGUAAAGUGUUUGUAAUUGUAAACAUGUUUGAAUCUUAUACUUUCUAUUAUUUUUUUCUUUUUUUGUUUGCAUUUUUUAGGCAAGCAAAAUGAUGUAAACUGGCGAUUUAUGGUGGCUUUGAAAGGGUGACUUGCUUUUAUAAAGUUCUGGAAGAUAAACUGCUUUGGAGCCAGAAGCACUCAGUAGCUAGAACAGCAGCCUUUCUCUCCCUUAUCGGAAAAUGGAUGCUUUCAAGGUGAGCUGAAAUGCUCUUAAUUUCAAGUAAUGGGUUUGUGUUACUGUGCAGAUCUGCCGAACUUCGCAUUUAGUUUCUUGGAAUUGUUAUUUUUUUUUUCAAUUAUAUAUUUUAGUGCUAUUAUGUUUGUCGUUCAAUGCUGGAAAAUUGGAAAGCUCUGGAAACAAUAUAGUUUUUGAGCUAAUGUGAAGAUUUUGGGUUGAAUACUUUGAUUCCGUUUUUCUAUUUGCACUUAGAAAAAAAGAGGAUUGUGGUUAAUUAUUGUGAUGUGAAGAUUAUUCAUGGUUUGAAAACCCACAGCAAAGCGCGGGCAUUCUUGCUAGUGGCUUCUAAAACGCUUGCAUGGAAAUGACAUUCCUAAUCGACAUAAGAAACGGUAGACAUGAACCUACUCAUUUUCUCCAACUAGAAAGGUUGCACCUGGGAGUUACGGCGUCGAAUCAGGAUGGCAGUGUGACUUCCACUUUGGUUAUGGUCGUGGUGUAAUACAUCUCGUUUCUUCUUCAUUCGAGUCAUUGUUCCUCAUCAUGUCUGUUUGUACUUUAAUAUUCGCGCACCUUUUUUUUUCUUUUUUCUUUUUCGUAUGGUUAUACAUAGAUCUGUUAGAAGAAGCGGAAGAUGAGAAAUGGUGCGUACAUGUGUUGAAGAUAUUGAUAAAAAAAGGCAGAUACUGAAAUUGAUGAACUUGAAAAAGAUUUGAUGUCUCUUCAAAGUUAACUAGCCUGGGCUGAGCAGGAAGAAUGGUCCGAAAUAUGGGUCCGAAAUAUGUUGAGUGCAUUGAGAGCAAAGAUUGCUUGCAUCGACACUUCAAUAAGGAGUUUGAAAAGUAAAGAUAUGAACAAUAUCGCGGUUCAGUUACUUACGCGGAGAGAACCUGCAGAGAAUAUACAAGAGAUACUGAAGGCUCUUAUGCAAAAAUAUUUCCCAAAGAAAUAUGAGCAGGUGAAACUCAUUCUUUGCUUAUAUGUUGCUUCUUGGUUUUGCAUUUUCGGAGAACAUAAGGUUGUCUGGUUGCCUUUAGCGAUGCUUUUGAAUCGGGUUUAAAUUACAGAUACUAAUCAAUACAGGUCCUGGAAGCUCUAUACUAUCCCUUUGUUCUUUAACUCAUACCUAUAGGUUGUUCAAAUUUCGAUGGAUAUGCUUAAAACUUUAGGGUAAGCUACUUAAAGCCUUUUGAGUAUGUAGCUCUUAUAAGCUGUUUGUGACUUCUUACAAUGUAGCAUGACUGCAGUAAUAUUUCGGAAUGUGUGUGUAUCUCCCUCUGUAUC